This 370-nucleotide long non-coding RNA is filed under the name Equus caballus (horse). RNAcentral's name for it is "lncRNA (ENSECAG00000040692.2)". The record is from RNAcentral. Lineage: Eukaryota; Metazoa; Chordata; Mammalia; Perissodactyla; Equidae.
AGAAAGUGUCCACGACUGAGCUCCUUGGAAAUCCACUACUGAGAGGGGGACAAAGACAAGAGUGGGAGAAAUGCAUUUUCAUAAAUGAAGGAGAAGUGGAGUCCAUAAUUAGCUCAGCUGUUCCGAAACUGCCUAUGACUUCAUGGACAGAGGAGACAGAGGCUACUCCUUCAGACUAGUCCCACAAUGAGAAGAGGUGCGGAGCUGUGGUUAAUCCACCAUGACAUGAGCCACGAGGGAGAAAUGGACCUCUGCUCUUGUAAGCUAAGAGCGAGAUGAAAUUAAGAGGCCAGCUUGUUGGGAAGUCAGUUCACUGUGUCGCGCAGAUCUAAGACAAAUGUUGGAGCAAUUGCUGUUCCUGAAAACAUAC